Molecule: ribosomal RNA, 470 nt
Filed under: uncultured Enterobacteriaceae bacterium
Lineage: Bacteria; Pseudomonadati; Pseudomonadota; Gammaproteobacteria; Enterobacterales; Enterobacteriaceae
Description: bacterial SSU rRNA
Rfam family: Bacterial small subunit ribosomal RNA
Source: RNAcentral
UGAGACAGGUGCUGCAUGGCUGUCGUCAGCUCGUGUUGUGAAAUGUUGGGUAAGUCCCGCAACGAGCGCAACCCUUAUCCUUUGUUGCCAGCGGUUCGGCCGGGAACUCAAAGGAGACUGCCCAGUGAUAAACUGGAGGAAGGUGGGGAUGACGUCAAGUCAUCAUGGCCCUUACGAGUAGGGCUACACACGUGCUACAAUGGCAUAUACAAAGAGAAGCGACCUCGCGAGAGCAAGCGGACCUCAUAAAGUAUGUCGUAGUCCGGAUUGGAGUCUGCAACUCGACUCCAUGAAGUCGGAAUCGCUAGUAAUCGUAGAUCAGAAUGCUACGGUGAAUACGUUCCCGGGCCUUGUACACACCGCCCGUCACACCAUGGGAGUGGGUUGCAAAAGAAGUAGGUAGCUUAACCUUCGGGAGGGCGCUUACCACUUUGUGAUUCAUGACUGGGGUGAAGUCGUAACAGGGUAAC